UCUCUGCUCACGGCGAGCACUGCGCACUU
This 29-nucleotide small RNA is filed under the name Bombyx mori (domestic silkworm). RNAcentral describes it as "ovarian small RNA-29852". Lineage: Eukaryota; Metazoa; Arthropoda; Insecta; Lepidoptera; Bombycidae. The record is from RNAcentral.